UACAGAGGGGGCAAGCGUUGUUCGGAAUUACUGGGCGUAAAGGGCGCGUAGGCGGCCUUCUAAGUCGAACGUGAAAUCCCCGGGCUCAACCCGGGAACUGCGUCCGAGACUGAAAGGCUUGAAUCCGGGAGAGGGAUGUGGAAUUCCAGGUGUAGCGGUGAAAUGCGUAGAUAUCUGGAGGAACACCGGUGGCGAAGGCGGCAUCCUGGACCGGCAUUGACGCUGAGGCGCGAAAGCCAGGGGAGCAAACGGG
Molecule: ribosomal RNA, 253 nt
Filed under: uncultured bacterium
Lineage: Bacteria
Description: partial 16S ribosomal RNA
Rfam family: Bacterial small subunit ribosomal RNA
Source: RNAcentral